AGCGUACACGGUGGAUGCCCUGGCAGUCAGAGGCGAUGAAGGACGUGCUAAUCUGCGAUAAGCGUCGGUAAGGUGAUAUGAACCGUUAUAACCGGCGAUUUCCGAAUGGGGAAACCCAGUGUGUUUCGACACACUAUCAUUAACUGAAUCCAUAGGUUAAUGAGGCGAACCGGGGGAACUGAAACAUCUAAGUACCCCGAGGAAAAGAAAUCAACCGAGAUUCCCCCAGUAGCGGCGAGCGAACGGGGAGCAGCCCAGAGCCUGAAUCAGUAUGUGUGUUAGUGGAAGCGUCUGGAAAGGCGCGCGAUACAGGGUGACAGCCCCGUACACAAAAAUGCACAUGCUGUGAGCUCGAUGAGUAGGGCGGGACACGUGGUAUCCUGUCUGAAUAUGGGGGGACCAUCCUCCAAGGCUAAAUACUCCUGACUGACCGAUAGUGAACCAGUACCGUGAGGGAAAGGCGAAAAGAACCCCGGCGAGGGGAGUGAAAAAGAACCUGAAACCGUGUACGUACAAGCAGUGGGAGCACGCUUAGGCGUGUGACUGCGUACCUUUUGUAUAAUGGGUCAGCGACUUAUAUUCUGUAGCAAGGUUAACCGAAUAGGGGAGCCGAAGGGAAACCGAGUCUUAACUGGGCGUUAAGUUGCAGGGUAUAGACCCGAAACCCGGUGAUCUAGCCAUGGGCAGGUUGAAGGUUGGGUAACACUAACUGGAGGACCGAACCGACUAAUGUUGAAAAAUUAGCGGAUGACUUGUGGCUGGGGGUGAAAGGCCAAUCAAACCGGGAGAUAGCUGGUUCUCCCCGAAAGCUAUUUAGGUAGCGCCUCGUGAAUUCAUCUCCGGGGGUAGAGCACUGUUUCGGCAAGGGGGUCAUCCCGACUUACCAACCCGAUGCAAACUGCGAAUACCGGAGAAUGUUAUCACGGGAGACACACGGCGGGUGCUAACGUCCGUCGUGAAGAGGGAAACAACCCAGACCGCCAGCUAAGGUCCCAAAGUCAUGGUUAAGUGGGAAACGAUGUGGGAAGGCCCAGACAGCCAGGAUGUUGGCUUAGAAGCAGCCAUCAUUUAAAGAAAGCGUAAUAGCUCACUGGUCGAGUCGGCCUGCGCGGAAGAUGUAACGGGGCUAAACCAUGCACCGAAGCUGCGGCAGCGACGCUUAUGCGUUGUUGGGUAGGGGAGCGUUCUGUAAGCCUGCGAAGGUGUGCUGUGAGGCAUGCUGGAGGUAUCAGAAGUGCGAAUGCUGACAUAAGUAACGAUAAAGCGGGUGAAAAGCCCGCUCGCCGGAAGACCAAGGGUUCCUGUCCAACGUUAAUCGGGGCAGGGUGAGUCGACCCCUAAGGCGAGGCCGAAAGGCGUAGUCGAUGGGAAACAGGUUAAUAUUCCUGUACUUGGUGUUACUGCGAAGGGGGGACGGAGAAGGCUAUGUUGGCCGGGCGACGGUUGUCCCGGUUUAAGCGUGUAGGCUGGUUUUCCAGGCAAAUCCGGAAAAUCAAGGCUGAGGCGUGAUGACGAGGCACUACGGUGCUGAAGCAACAAAUGCCCUGCUUCCAGGAAAAGCCUCUAAGCAUCAGGUAACAUCAAAUCGUACCCCAAACCGACACAGGUGGUCAGGUAGAGAAUACCAAGGCGCUUGAGAGAACUCGGGUGAAGGAACUAGGCAAAAUGGUGCCGUAACUUCGGGAGAAGGCACGCUGAUAUGUAGGUGAAGUCCCUCGCGGAUGGAGCUGAAAUCAGUCGAAGAUACCAGCUGGCUGCAACUGUUUAUUAAAAACACAGCACUGUGCAAACACGAAAGUGGACGUAUACGGUGUGACGCCUGCCCGGUGCCGGAAGGUUAAUUGAUGGGGUCAGCGCAAGCGAAGCUCUUGAUCGAAGCCCCGGUAAACGGCGGCCGUAACUAUAACGGUCCUAAGGUAGCGAAAUUCCUUGUCGGGUAAGUUCCGACCUGCACGAAUGGCGUAAUGAUGGCCAGGCUGUCUCCACCCGAGACUCAGUGAAAUUGAACUCGCUGUGAAGAUGCAGUGUACCCGCGGCAAGACGGAAAGACCCCGUGAACCUUUACUAUAGCUUGACACUGAACAUUGAGCCUUGAUGUGUAGGAUAGGUGGGAGGCUUUGAAGUGUGGACGCCAGUCUGCAUGGAGCCGACCUUGAAAUACCACCCUUUAAUGUUUGAUGUUCUAACGUUGACCCGUAAUCCGGGUUGCGGACAGUGUCUGGUGGGUAGUUUGACUGGGGCGGUCUCCUCCUAAAGAGUAACGGAGGAGCACGAAGGUUGGCUAAUCCUGGUCGGACAUCAGGAGGUUAGUGCAAUGGCAUAAGCCAGCUUGACUGCGAGCGUGACGGCGCGAGCAGGUGCGAAAGCAGGUCAUAGUGAUCCGGUGGUUCUGAAUGGAAGGGCCAUCGCUCAACGGAUAAAAGGUACUCCGGGGAUAACAGGCUGAUACCGCCCAAGAGUUCAUAUCGACGGCGGUGUUUGGCACCUCGAUGUCGGCUCAUCACAUCCUGGGGCUGAAGUAGGUCCCAAGGGUAUGGCUGUUCGCCAUUUAAAGUGGUACGCGAGCUGGGUUUAGAACGUCGUGAGACAGUUCGGUCCCUAUCUGCCGUGGGCGCUGGAGAACUGAGGGGGGCUGCUCCUAGUACGAGAGGACCGGAGUGGACGCAUCACUGGUGUUCGGGUUGUCAUGCCAAUGGCACUGCCCGGUAGCUAAAUGCGGAAGAGAUAAGUGCUGAAAGCAUCUAAGCACGAAACUUGCCCCGAGAUGAGUUCUCCCUGACUCCUUGA
Molecule: ribosomal RNA, 2787 nt
Filed under: Escherichia coli
Lineage: Bacteria; Pseudomonadati; Pseudomonadota; Gammaproteobacteria; Enterobacterales; Enterobacteriaceae
Description: bacterial LSU rRNA
Rfam family: Bacterial large subunit ribosomal RNA
Source: RNAcentral